RNAcentral lists this ribosomal RNA (881 nucleotides) under uncultured bacterium. RNAcentral's name for it is "bacterial SSU rRNA". It matches the Rfam family "Bacterial small subunit ribosomal RNA", at positions 8 to 914 of the family's 1533-position model. The record is from RNAcentral.
AGAGUUUGAUCCUGGCUCAGGACGAACGCUGGCGGCGUGCCUAACACAUGCAAGCCGAGCGGGGAACUUCGGUUUCCAGCGGCGGACGGGUGAGUAACACGUGGGUAACCUGCCUUGUAGAGGGGGAUAGCCUUCCGAAAGGAAGAUUAAUACCGCAUAACAUUAUUUCUUCGCAUGAAGAGAUAAUCAAAGGAGUAAUCCGCUACAAGAUGGACCCGCGGCGCAUUAGCUAGUUGGUGAGGUAACGGCUCACCAAGGCGACGAUGCGUAGCCGGCCUGAGAGGGUGAACGGCCACAUUGGAACUGAGACACGGUCCAGACUCCUACGGGAGGCAGCAGUGGGGAAUAUUGCACAAUGGGCGAAAGCCUGAUGCAGCAACGCCGCGUGAGUGAUGAAGGCCUUCGGGUUGUAAAGCUCUGUCUUCUGGGACGAUAAUGACGGUACCAGAGGAGGAAGCCACGGCUAACUACGUGCCAGCAGCCGCGGUAAUACGUAGGUGGCAAGCGUUGUCCGGAUUUACUGGGCGUAAAGGAUGCGUAGGCGGAUGCUUAAGUCAGAUGUGAAAAUCCCGAGCUUAACUUGGGAACUGCGUUUGAAACUGGGUAUCUAGAGUGCGGGAGAGGAGAGUGGAAUUCCUAGUGUAGCGGUGAAAUGCGUAGAGAUUAGGAAGAACACCAGUGGCGAAGGCGACUCUCUGGACCGUAACUGACGCUGAGGCAUGAAAGCGUGGAGAGCAAACAGGAUUAGAUACCCUGGUAGUCCACGCCGUAAACUAUGAAUACUAGGUGUGGGAGUUGUCAUGACUUCCGUGCCGCAGUUAACACAAUAAGUAUUCCGCCUGGGGAGUACGGUCGCAAGAUUAAAACUCAAAGGAAUUGAC